UAAAGGUUUGGUCCUAGCCUUCCCAUUAGCUACUAACAAGAUUACACAUGUAAGUCUCCGCGCUCCAGUGAAAAUGCCCUUUGGAUCUUAAAGCAAUUUGAAGGAGCGGGCAUCAAGCACACCUCUCCCUGGUAGCU
RNAcentral lists this ribosomal RNA (137 nucleotides) under Helarctos malayanus (Malayan sun bear). RNAcentral's name for it is "partial 16S ribosomal RNA". The record is from RNAcentral. Lineage: Eukaryota; Metazoa; Chordata; Mammalia; Carnivora; Ursidae.